This 1014-nucleotide long non-coding RNA is filed under the name Canis lupus dingo (dingo). RNAcentral's name for it is "lncRNA (ENSCAFG00020004989.1)". The record is from RNAcentral. Lineage: Eukaryota; Metazoa; Chordata; Mammalia; Carnivora; Canidae.
AUGCAGCUUGGGUUCGGAGGGCGGCUGAGAGGCGGGCAUCGGUCGGCAGCUGCCCUGGAGGUGCUGUUCAUGAUGCUGCCCUGGGGUGUGUGCUGCGGGUGGGUCCUGAGCAUCUGCAUGCCCUCCCCUGCCGCUGCACCAACACCUGCAGCUGCAUGCUCUCCCCCGUGGCUGCACCUGCACCUACACCUGUACGCCCUCCCCCGCGGCUGGACCUACACCUGCACCUGUAUGCCCUGCCCCGUGGCUGCACCUACACCUGCACCUGCACGCCCUCCCCUGUGGCUGCAACUACACCUGCACCUGCAUGCCCUCCCCUGCUGCUGCACCUACAUCUGCACCUGCACACCCUCCCCCGCGGCUGGACCUACACCUGCACCUGCACACCCUCCCCCGUGGCUGCACCUACACCUGCACCUGCACACCCUCCCCCGCGGCUGGACCUACACCUGCAGCUGCAUGCCCUCUCCUGUGGCUGCACCUACACCUGCACCUGCAUGCCCUCCCCUGCGGCUGCACCUACACCUGCACCUGCAUGCCCUCCCCUGCCGCUGCACCUACACCUGCAGCUGCAUGCUCUCCCCCGCGGCUGCACCUGCACCUGCACACCCUCCCCUGCGGCUGCACUUACACCUGCCCCUGCACUCCCUCCCCCGUGGCUGCACCUGUACCUGCACGCCCUGCCCCGCAGGUGCACCUACACCUGCACUUGCAUGCCCUCCCUCGCGGCUGCACCUACACCUGAGCCUGCACACCCUCUCCUGCAGCUGCACCUACACCUGCACCUGCACUCCCUCCCCCACGGCUGAUCUGCUCCUCUUAGCUUCCCCCAAAUGCAGCUGCGUCCAAGUGGGGCUGGGCUGCAGGAGGGAUGGCUCCUUGGCUGACUUGCCGUGUGUUGGGGGAUCUCAGGCCAGCACUCGGAGCAGGCCCCUGCCGGGGAAGGGAACUCAAACAAAAGAAAGUGCGGGCAAGCUGAUGGAUGCUUUUUCUGAAAUAACAGAGGCAGGCUGA